UGGUAGUGGAAGGUGCUGAUCAGAGCGC
This 28-nucleotide small RNA is filed under the name Bombyx mori (domestic silkworm). RNAcentral describes it as "ovarian small RNA-35108". The record is from RNAcentral. Lineage: Eukaryota; Metazoa; Arthropoda; Insecta; Lepidoptera; Bombycidae.